This 468-nucleotide ribosomal RNA is filed under the name uncultured bacterium. Its description in RNAcentral is "partial 16S ribosomal RNA". It matches the Rfam family "Bacterial small subunit ribosomal RNA", at positions 28 to 507 of the family's 1533-position model. The record is from RNAcentral.
GACGAACGCUGGCGGCGUGCUUAACACAUGCAAGUCGAACGGAAAGGCCCUGCUUUUGUGGGGUGCUCGAGUGGCGAACGGGUGAGUAACACGUGAGUAACCUGCCCUUGACUUUGGGAUAACUUCAGGAAACUGGGGCUAAUACCGGAUAGGAGCUCCUGCUGCAUGGGGGGGGUUGGAAAGUUUCGGCGGUUGGGGAUGGACUCGCGGCUUAUCAGCUUGUUGGUGGGGUAGUGGCUUACCAAGGCUUUGGCGGGUAGCCGGCCUGAGAGGGUGACCGGCCACAUUGGGACUGAGAUACGGCCCAGACUCCUACGGGAGGCAGCAGUGGGGAAUAUUGCACAAUGGGCGGAAGCCUGAUGCAGCAACGCCGCGUGCGGGAUGACGGCCUUCGGGUUGUAAACCGCUUUCGCCUGUGACGAAGCGUGAGUGACGGUAAUGGGUAAAGAAGCACCGGCUAACUACGUG